Long non-coding RNA from Solanum pennellii, 1184 nucleotides. RefSeq lists it as uncharacterized. NCBI's taxonomy places the organism in Eukaryota, Viridiplantae, Streptophyta, Magnoliopsida, Solanales, Solanaceae. The record is from RefSeq and is a predicted model, not a curated record. The transcript has 2 exons.
UUCAACAAAUAAUAAACAGAACAAGCUAAACUAAAUUAGUUUAGUAAGUUGGGUCUAUUUAGUAGUAUUUAUAAACUAAAGGUAGAAUUAAACAAAAAAAGAGAAGGCAGCCAUAAAAAAAUCUCAAUUCAAACUAAUGAAAGCAUAUAUGGCUGGGAAGUGUUUCAACCUUAACCGUCAGAUGAGGUUGUUGACAAGGACAUGAGCACACAAUACUUGAAGUCAGCUUUGAAGCCUUCGAAGAGGGUGUUGACAUUGAGAAGGAGAUCCUUUCAUCUAAUUUGAUGGAUGAAUUGAUUGGUGACCUAAUGUGAAUGAGUCCUCUUCUGGCUUUAAUCAAACUGAAAUAAGCAAAAUUGGCCUCAAACAAUAUAACAAGUUUGGGCAAAACUUGUGAGUUCUUCUUCUUACUCCUUUAGAAGUCAAACCACCUGUCUUCUCCAAAGUGAUGUAAGACACGUUUGUAACCGAUAAACUAUCACCAAAUGAAGGUGAGACCUUUAUAUUGAUGAAUAAAAUUACAAUGCUAAGGGCCAAGGGGAGUUCGACCCAGUUCCUAUAGCCGCGCUGCUUCACAAAAACUAAGGUUCUAACAAAAACAAUACAAGUUCAACGUAAUAAACAAAAUUAGCUAUAACAUCUCAACUGGAUCAGUUCUAUACAAAAUAAUUCUUCUUCUACUUUGCCUUAGGGAUCAGACUCCAUUUGUAUGAGAACAAGUUUGUAAGGUUGGGUAUAGAUGGUAGGUUAGCAUGUGCAAAAAUAACCAACUCCUCAUUUGUAAUACUCCGUUUUGCCAAGACAUAUGCAACUUGGUUGGCUAUCGAUGUUAGUUCUAGCUCUUCCAUUGGCAUCCCUACUUCCAUCAAUAUAUUACUGAACAGCUUACUUUCCAUAUCUUCCAACAAAUUGAUAUUGAAUCCUCUUUGGCUUAAGUUCGGCAUAAUUAAAAUCAUUUCUAGAGCAUUUUUGAUAAAUUUUGAUGUUGAUGCAUAACUAAUUCCAGUGAUUUCUUACCACCAGAGGUAAAGAUAAUUACAUCAUCUAAGGUGAGUAAUGUAUGGGCAUCGAUCAACCAUGCAUAUUUACCACAAUGAUUAUUCAUACACCAUUCUAUAUAUGUGGUUUACCCUUUUCUUUUCAUCUGGACUCAUAUAUAAUAUCAUGAGUAAAUUAUAGAGGAA